This 530-nucleotide ribosomal RNA is filed under the name uncultured bacterium. Its description in RNAcentral is "bacterial SSU rRNA". It matches the Rfam family "Bacterial small subunit ribosomal RNA", at positions 777 to 1301 of the family's 1533-position model. The record is from RNAcentral.
AAUAGACUACCCCGGUAGUCCACGCCGUAAACGAUGAGUGCUAAGUGCUAGAGGGUUUCCGCCCUUUAGUGCUGAAGUUAACGCAUUAAGCACUCCGCCUGGGGAGUACGGCCGCAAGGCUGAAACUCAAAGGAAUUGACGGGGGCCCGCACAAGCGGUGGAGCAUGUGGUUUAAUUCGAAGCAACGCGAAGAACCUUACCAGGUCUUGACAUCCUCUGACAACCCUAGAGAUAGGGCUUCUCCUUCGGGAGCAGAGUGACAGGUGGUGCAUGGUUGUCGUCAGCUCGUGUCGUGAGAUGUUGGGUUAAGUCCCGCAACGAGCGCAACCCUUGAUCUUAGUUGCCAUCAUUCAGUUGGGCACUCUAAGGUGACUGCCGGUGACAAACCGGAGGAAGGUGGGGAUGACGUCAAAUCAUCAUGCCCCUUAUGACCUGGGCUACACACGUGCUACAAAUGGACGGUACAAAAGAGCUGCAAAGACCGCGAGGUGGAGCUAAAUCUCAUAAAAACCGUUCUCAGUUCGGAUUGU